CGUUAGCGGCGGACGGGUGAGUAACACGUGGGCAACCUGCCUGUAAGACUGGGAUAACUCCGGGAAACCGGAGCUAAUACCGGAUAACAUUUUUUCUUGCAUAAGAGAAAAUUGAAAGAUGGUUUCGGCUAUCACUUACAGAUGGGCCCGCGGUGCAUUAGCUAGUUGGUGAGGUAACGGCUCACCAAGGCAACGAUGCAUAGCCGACCUGAGAGGGUGAUCGGCCACACUGGGACUGAGACACGGCCCAGACUCCUACGGGAGGCAGCAGUAGGGAAUCUUCCGCAAUGGACGAAAGUCUGACGGAGCAACGCCGCGUGAGUGAUGAAGGCUUUCGGGUCGUAAAACUCUGUUGUUAGGGAAGAACAAGUACAAGAGUAACUGCUUGUACCUUGACGGUACCUAACCAGAAAGCCACGGCUAACUACGUGCCAGCAGCCGCGGUAAUACGUAGGUGGCAAGCGUUAUCCGGAAUUAUUGGGCGUAAAGCGCGCGCAGGCG
Molecule: ribosomal RNA, 501 nt
Filed under: Bacillus sp. WH316
Lineage: Bacteria; Bacillati; Bacillota; Bacilli; Caryophanales; Bacillaceae
Description: bacterial SSU rRNA
Rfam family: Bacterial small subunit ribosomal RNA
Source: RNAcentral